This 376-nucleotide ribosomal RNA is filed under the name uncultured bacterium. Its description in RNAcentral is "bacterial SSU rRNA". It matches the Rfam family "Bacterial small subunit ribosomal RNA", at positions 523 to 898 of the family's 1533-position model. The record is from RNAcentral.
AUACGGAGGGUGCAAGCGUUAAUCGGAAUUACUGGGCGUAAAGCGCGCGUAGGCGGCUUGGUCAGUGAGGUGUGAAAGCCCCGGGCUUAACCUGGGAAUUGCAUCUCAUACUGCCAGGCUGGAGUAUGGGAGAGGAUAGUGGAAUUCCAGGUGUAGCGGUGAAAUGCGUAGAGAUCUGGAGGAACAUCAGUGGCGAAGGCGACUGUCUGGCCCAAUACUGACGCUGAGGUGCGAAAGCGCGGGGAGCAAACAGGAUUAGAUACCCUGGUAGUCCACGCCGUAAACGAUGUCUACUAGCCGUUGGGGAACUUGAUUCUUUAGUGGCGCAGCUAACGCGAUAAGUAGACCGCCUGGGGAGUACGGCCGCAAGGUAAAA